Molecule: ribosomal RNA, 2906 nt
Filed under: Salmonella enterica subsp. enterica serovar Goldcoast
Lineage: Bacteria; Pseudomonadati; Pseudomonadota; Gammaproteobacteria; Enterobacterales; Enterobacteriaceae
Description: 23S ribosomal RNA
Rfam family: Bacterial large subunit ribosomal RNA
Source: RNAcentral
GGUUAAGCGACUAAGCGUACACGGUGGAUGCCCUGGCAGUCAGAGGCGAUGAAGGACGUGCUAAUCUGCGAUAAGCGCCGGUAAGGUGAUAUGAACCGUUAUAACCGGCGAUUUCCGAAUGGGGAAACCCAGUGUGAUUCGUCACACUAUCAUUAACUGAAUCCAUAGGUUAAUGAGGCGAACCGGGGGAACUGAAACAUCUAAGUACCCCGAGGAAAAGAAAUCAACCGAGAUUCCCCCAGUAGCGGCGAGCGAACGGGGAGGAGCCCAGAGCCUGAAUCAGCAUGUGUGUUAGUGGAAGCGUCUGGAAAGGCGCGCGAUACAGGGUGACAGCCCCGUACACAAAAGCGCAUGUGCUGUGAGCUCGAUGAGUAGGGCGGGACACGUGGUAUCCUGUCUGAAUAUGGGGGGACCAUCCUCCAAGGCUAAAUACUCCUGACUGACCGAUAGUGAACCAGUACCGUGAGGGAAAGGCGAAAAGAACCCCGGCGAGGGGAGUGAAAAAGAACCUGAAACCGUGUACGUACAAGCAGUGGGAGCACCCUUUGGGGUGUGACUGCGUACCUUUUGUAUAAUGGGUCAGCGACUUAUAUUCUGUAGCAAGGUUAACCGUAUAGGGGAGCCGCAGGGAAACCGAGUCUUAACCGGGCGUUAAGUUGCAGGGUAUAGACCCGAAACCCGGUGAUCUAGCCAUGGGCAGGUUGAAGGUUGGGUAACACUAACUGGAGGACCGAACCGACUAAUGUUGAAAAAUUAGCGGAUGACCUGUGGCUGGGGGUGAAAGGCCAAUCAAACCGGGAGAUAGCUGGUUCUCCCCGAAAGCUAUUUAGGUAGCGCCUCGUGAAUUCAUCUCCGGGGGUAGAGCACUGUUUCGGCUAGGGGGCCAUCCCGGCUUACCAACCCGAUGCAAACUGCGAAUACCGGAGAAUGUUAUCACGGGAGACACACGGCGGGUGCUAACGUCCGUCGUGAAGAGGGAAACAACCCAGACCGCCAGCUAAGGUCCCAAAGUCAUGGUUAAGUGGGAAACGAUGUGGGAAGGCCCAGACAGCCAGGAUGUUGGCUUAGAAGCAGCCAUCAUUUAAAGAAAGCGUAAUAGCUCACUGGUCGAGUCGGCCUGCGCGGAAGAUGUAACGGGGCUAAACCAUGCACCGAAGCUGCGGCAGCGACACUCAGGCGUUGUUGGGUAGGGGAGCGUUCUGUAAGCCUGUGAAGGUGGCCUGUGAGGGUUGCUGGAGGUAUCAGAAGUGCGAAUGCUGACAUAAGUAACGAUAAAGCGGGUGAAAAGCCCGCUCGCCGGAAGACCAAGGGUUCCUGUCCAACGUUAAUCGGGGCAGGGUGAGUCGACCCCUAAGGCGAGGCCGAAAGGCGUAGUCGAUGGGAAACGGGUUAAUAUUCCCGUACUUGGUGUUACUGCGAAGGGGGGACGGAGAAGGCUAUGUUGGCCGGGCGACGGUUGUCCCGGUUUAAGCGUGUAGGUGUGUGUUCCAGGUAAAUCCGGUUCACUUUAACACUGAGGCGUGAUGACGAGGCACUACGGUGCUGAAGCAACAAAUGCCCUGCUUCCAGGAAAAGCCUCUAAGCAUCAGGUAACAUCAAAUCGUACCCCAAACCGACACAGGUGGUCAGGUAGAGAAUACCAAGGCGCUUGAGAGAACUCGGGUGAAGGAACUAGGCAAAAUGGUGCCGUAACUUCGGGAGAAGGCACGCUGACACGUAGGUGAAGUGAUUUACUCAUGGAGCUGAAGUCAGUCGAAGAUACCAGCUGGCUGCAACUGUUUAUUAAAAACACAGCACUGUGCAAACACGAAAGUGGACGUAUACGGUGUGACGCCUGCCCGGUGCCGGAAGGUUAAUUGAUGGGGUCAGCGCAAGCGAAGCUCCUGAUCGAAGCCCCGGUAAACGGCGGCCGUAACUAUAACGGUCCUAAGGUAGCGAAAUUCCUUGUCGGGUAAGUUCCGACCUGCACGAAUGGCGUAAUGAUGGCCAGGCUGUCUCCACCCGAGACUCAGUGAAAUUGAACUCGCUGUGAAGAUGCAGUGUACCCGCGGCAAGACGGAAAGACCCCGUGAACCUUUACUAUAGCUUGACACUGAACAUUGAGCCUUGAUGUGUAGGAUAGGUGGGAGGCUUUGAAGUGUGGACGCCAGUCUGCAUGGAGCCGACCUUGAAAUACCACCCUUUAAUGUUUGAUGUUCUAACGUGGACCCGUAAUCCGGGUUGCGGACAGUGUCUGGUGGGUAGUUUGACUGGGGCGGUCUCCUCCUAAAGAGUAACGGAGGAGCACGAAGGUUGGCUAAUCCUGGUCGGACAUCAGGAGGUUAGUGCAAUGGCAUAAGCCAGCUUGACUGCGAGCGUGACGGCGCGAGCAGGUGCGAAAGCAGGUCAUAGUGAUCCGGUGGUUCUGAAUGGAAGGGCCAUCGCUCAACGGAUAAAAGGUACUCCGGGGAUAACAGGCUGAUACCGCCCAAGAGUUCAUAUCGACGGCGGUGUUUGGCACCUCGAUGUCGGCUCAUCACAUCCUGGGGCUGAAGUAGGUCCCAAGGGUAUGGCUGUUCGCCAUUUAAAGUGGUACGCGAGCUGGGUUUAGAACGUCGUGAGACAGUUCGGUCCCUAUCUGCCGUGGGCGCUGGAGAACUGAGGGGGGCUGCUCCUAGUACGAGAGGACCGGAGUGGACGCAUCACUGGUGUUCGGGUUGUCAUGCCAAUGGCACUGCCCGGUAGCUAAAUGCGGAAGAGAUAAGUGCUGAAAGCAUCUAAGCACGAAACUUGCCCCGAGAUGAGUUCUCCCUGAGACUUAGAGUCUCCUGAAGGAACGUUGAAGACGACGACGUUGAUAGGCCGGGUGUGUAAGCGCAGCGAUGCGUUGAGCUAACCGGUACUAAUGAACCGUGAGGCUUAACCUU